AGAGUUUGAUCCUGGCUCAGAUUGAACGCUGGCGGCAUGCUUUACACAUGCAAGUCGGACGGCAGCACAGGGAAGCUUGCUUCUCGGGUGGCGAGUGGCGAACGGGUGAGUAACAUAUCGGAACGUACCGGGUAGCGGGGGAUAACUGAUCGAAAGAUCAGCUAAUACCGCAUACGUCUUGAGAGGGAAAGCAGGGGACCUUCGGGCCUUGCGCUAUCCGAGCGGCCGAUAUCUGAUUAGCUGGUUGGCGGGGUAAAGGCCCACCAAGGCGACGAUCAGUAGCGGGUCUGAGAGGAUGAUCCGCCACACUGGGACUGAGACACGGCCCAGACUCCUACGGGAGGCAGCAGUGGGGAAUUUUGGACAAUGGGCGCAAGCCUGAUCCAGCCAUGCCGCGUGUCUGAAGAAGGCCUUCGGGUUGUAAAGGACUUUUGUCAGGGAAGAAAAGGCCGUUGCCAAUAUCGGCGGCCGAUGACGGUACCUGAAGAAUAAGCACCGGCUAACUACGUGCCAGCAGCCGCGGUAAUACGUAGGGUGCGAGCGUUAAUCGGAAUUACUGGGCGUAAAGCGGGCGCAGACGGUUACUUAAGCAGGAUGUGAAAUCCCCGGGCUCAACCCGGGAACUGCGUUCUGAACUGGGUGACUCGAGUGUGUCAGAGGGAGGUGGAAUUCCACGUGUAGCAGUGAAAUGCGUAGAGAUGUGGAGGAAUACCGAUGGCGAAGGCAGCCUCCUGGGAUAACACUGACGUUCAUGUCCGAAAGCGUGGGUAGCAAACAGGAUUAGAUACCCUGGUAGUCCACGCCCUAAACGAUGUCAAUUAGCUGUUGGGCAACUUGAUUGCUUGGUAGCGUAGCUAACGCGUGAAAUUGACCGCCUGGGGAGUACGGUCGCAAGAUUAAAACUCAAAGGAAUUGACGGGGACCCGCACAAGCGGUGGAUGAUGUGGAUUAAUUCGAUGCAACGCGAAGAACCUUACCUGGUUUUGACAUGUGCGGAAUCCUCCGGAGACGGAGGAGUGCCUUCGGGAGCCGUAACACAGGUGCUGCAUGGCUGUCGUCAGCUCGUGUCGUGAGAUGUUGGGUUAAGUCCCGCAACGAGCGCAACCCUUGUCAUUAGUUGCCAUCAUUCGGUUGGGCACUCUAAUGAGACUGCCGGUGACAAGCCGGAGGAAGGUGGGGAUGACGUCAAGUCCUCAUGGCCCUUAUAACCAGGG
This 1214-nucleotide ribosomal RNA is filed under the name Neisseria gonorrhoeae FA19. RNAcentral's name for it is "bacterial SSU rRNA". It matches the Rfam family "Bacterial small subunit ribosomal RNA", at positions 8 to 1213 of the family's 1533-position model. Lineage: Bacteria; Pseudomonadati; Pseudomonadota; Betaproteobacteria; Neisseriales; Neisseriaceae. The record is from RNAcentral.